RNAcentral lists this ribosomal RNA (541 nucleotides) under Rattus norvegicus (Norway rat). RNAcentral describes it as "partial large subunit ribosomal RNA". It matches the Rfam family "Bacterial large subunit ribosomal RNA", at positions 1844 to 2608 of the family's 2925-position model. The record is from RNAcentral. Lineage: Eukaryota; Metazoa; Chordata; Mammalia; Rodentia; Muridae.
UAUUAGAGGCAUUGCCUGCCCAGUGACUAAAGUUAAACGGCCGCGGUAUCCUGACCGUGCAAAGGUAGCAUAAUCACUUGUUCCUUAAUUAGGGACUAGAAUGAAUGGCUAAACGAGGGUUCAACUGUCUCUUACUUUCAAUCAGUGAAAUUGACCUUCCAGUGAAGAGGCUGGAAUCUCCCAAUAAGACGAGAAGACCCUAUGGAGCUUUAAUUUACUAGUUCAACUUAUAUAAAAACAACCUAAUGGGCUAAAACAAAAUAAAUAUGAACUAAAAAAUUUCGGUUGGGGUGACCUCGGAGAAUAAAAAAUCCUCCGAAUGAUUUUAACCUAGACUCACAAGUCAAAGUAAUACUAAUAUCUUAUUGACCCAAUUAUUGAUCAACGGACCAAGUUACCCUAGGGAUAACAGCGCAAUCCUAUUUAAGAGUUCAUAUCGACAAUUAGGGUUUACGACCUCGAUGUUGGAUCAGGACAUCCCAAUGGUGCAGAAGCUAUUAAUGGUUCGUUUGUUCAACGAUUAAAGUCCUACGUGAUCUGU